AUUGAACGCUGGCGGCAUGCCUUACACAUGCAAGUCGAACGGCAGCACGGGAGCAAUCCUGGUGGCGAGUGGCGAACGGGUGAGUAAUAUAUCGGAACGUGCCCAGUCGUGGGGAUAACGUAGCGAAAGCUACGCUAAUACCGCAUACGAUCUAUGGAUGAAAGCGGGGGAUCGCAAGACCUCGCGCGAUUGGAGCGGCCGAUAUCAGAUUAGGUAGUUGGUGAGGUAAAGGCUCACCAAGCCGACGAUCUGUAGCUGGUCUGAGAGGACGACCAGCCACACUGGGACUGAGACACGGCCCAGACUCCUACGGGAGGCAGCAGUGGGGAAUUUUUGGACAAUGGGCGCAAGCCUGAUCCAGCAAUGCCGCGUGCAGGAUGAAGG
RNAcentral lists this ribosomal RNA (384 nucleotides) under uncultured bacterium. RNAcentral's name for it is "bacterial SSU rRNA". It matches the Rfam family "Bacterial small subunit ribosomal RNA", at positions 30 to 414 of the family's 1533-position model. The record is from RNAcentral.